ACCCGGGUGGCGGAAUUGGUAGACGCGCUAUCUUCAGGAGGUAGUAUCGCAAGAUUUCAGGGUUCGAGUCCCUGCCCGGGUA
Molecule: transfer RNA, 82 nt
Filed under: Bacteroidetes bacterium RIFCSPLOWO2_02_FULL_36_8
Lineage: Bacteria; Pseudomonadati; Bacteroidota
Also listed under: 1 other name
Description: tRNA-Leu
Rfam family: tRNA
About the family: Transfer RNA (tRNA) molecules are approximately 80 nucleotides in length. Their secondary structure includes four short double-helical elements and three loops (D, anti-codon, and T loops).
Source: RNAcentral